UUUCCGUAGGUGAACCUGCGGAAGGAUCAUUAAUGAGUUGUCAUGGGGUUCGAUGCUGGCAGCCAAUUUUUGGAUGCAUGUGCUUGCCCUAACAAUCAUCUUCCAAACACCUGUGCACAUUUUUGAGGGAGUCUUGAGUUGGUUGCCGCUCUUGGGUGAUUUUCUCACAUUCCCUUAAAUCAUUAUACGCUAUUAACAAUGUUGAACGUGCUCUGUGCCGCAAGGCUAUUAAUAUAAUACAACUUUUAACAACGGAUCUCUUGGCUCUCGCAUCUAUUAAUAAC
This 284-nucleotide unclassified non-coding RNA is filed under the name plant metagenome. RNAcentral's name for it is "partial contains small subunit ribosomal RNA, internal transcribed spacer 1, and 5.8S ribosomal RNA". The record is from RNAcentral.